CUAAAAUAGUUCAAUAUUUUCCCUUAAAAUUUUGCUCUUCACUCUAGAUAUUUUAAGAAGCACAACAUACAUUCAUAACCUUGUUCACUCCUGUUACUAACAUUUCAGAAUCAAAAUCAUGAAUAACCCAGAAUCCCUAACCCCAACCCUAACACAAUCUCCCCAAUUUCACAACACGGAUGCGCGCAUUCUGCGUUUCUCUCUACUCUGACGAGUUCUGCUCUACUCCACCGUGUUCUUCUACUCUGCCGUGUUAUUCUGCUCGUGCCGUGUUAUUCUGCUAGCUCUGCUCCGUCGUGUUCUUCUACUCGCAUCAAGUUCUGCUCUACUCUGCCAUGUUAUUCUACUCGCGUCGAGUUCUUCUUUGCUCCGCCAUUUUUUCUUCUCGUGCCGAGGUUUGCUCUGCUCCGCUAUGUUCUUUUGCUUGCACCUUGUUCUUCGUGUUGUUGUUUUGUUAAGCAAAUUGAGAUUAAGCCUUGCUUCAUGACUUGUUUGAUUUUAAUUAUAAUUAAUUUGGUCUUUCUGUCACUACUCGCCUUGUUGUGCUCUCUUCGUGUUCCUCUCUACUCGCGGUUCAUCGUACUAGUCAAGUUCUUCUCUUCACCUUGUUUUGCUCGCCGUUUGUCUUUGAUCU
Non-coding RNA from Arachis ipaensis, 634 nucleotides. NCBI's taxonomy places the organism in Eukaryota, Viridiplantae, Streptophyta, Magnoliopsida, Fabales, Fabaceae. The record is from RefSeq and is a predicted model, not a curated record.